RNAcentral lists this long non-coding RNA (531 nucleotides) under Mytilus galloprovincialis (Mediterranean mussel). Lineage: Eukaryota; Metazoa; Mollusca; Bivalvia; Mytilida; Mytilidae. The record is from RNAcentral.
UAAUGUUCAUCAGGUCAAGAUCUAUCUGCCUGAAAUUUUCAGAUGAAUCGGACAUUUCGUUGUUGGGUUGCUGCCCCUGAAAUGGUAAUUUUAAGGAAAUUUUGCUGUUUUUUGGUUAUUAUCUUGAAUAUUAUUAUAGAUAGAGAUAAACUGUAAACAGCAAUAAUGUUCAGCAAAGUAAGAUCUACAAAUAAGUCAACAUGACCAAAAUGGUCAGUUGAUCACUUUAGGAGUUAUUGCUCUUUAUAGUCAAUUUUUAACCAUUUUUCGUAAAUCUUAGUAAUCUUUUAGAAAAAUCUUCUCCUCUGAAACUACUGGGCCAAAUUUAACCAAACUUGGCCAUAAUCAUCAUUGGGGUAUCUAGUUUUAAAAUGUGUCCGGUGACCCGGCCAACCAACCAAGAUGGCCGCCAUGGCUAAAAAUAGAACAUAGGGGUAAAAUGCAGAUUUUGGCUUAUAACUCAAAACCAAAGCAUUUAGAGCAAAUCUGACAGAUAGUAAAAUUGUUGAUCAGGUCACGAUCUAUCUUCCC